CCAAUAGCGUAUAUUAAAGUUGUUGCAGUUAAAAAGCUCGUAGUUGAAUUUCGGGGUCAGUAGGUCGGUCGUGCCACUGGUAUGAACUGGUUUUACUGAUUCCUCCCUCUUGAAGAACUGUAAUGCCAUUAAUUUGGUGUUGCAGGGAAUCAGGACUGUUACUUUGAAAAAAUUAGAGUGUUUAAAGCAGGCUUUAGCUUGAAUACAUUAGCAUGGAAUAAUGAAAUAGGACGUUUGAUCCUAUUUUGUUGGUUUCUAGGAUUGACGUAAUGAUUAAUAGGGAUAGUUGGGGGCAUUAGUAUUCAAUUGUCAGAGGUGAAAUUCUUGGAUUUAUUGAAGACUAACUACUGCGAAAGCAUUUGCCAAGGAUGUUUUCAUUAAUCAAGAACGAAAGUUAGGGGAUCGAAGACGAUCAGAUACCGUCGUAGUCUUAACCAUAAACUAUGCCGACUAGGGAUCGGAUGAUGUUAAUUUUUUAAUGACUCAUUCGGCGCCUUACG
This 500-nucleotide non-coding RNA is filed under the name uncultured Glomus. RNAcentral describes it as "SSU rRNA". It matches the Rfam family "Eukaryotic small subunit ribosomal RNA", at positions 591 to 1092 of the family's 1831-position model. The record is from RNAcentral. RNAcentral also lists the same sequence under 1 other name. Lineage: Eukaryota; Fungi; Glomeromycota; Glomeromycetes; Glomerales; Glomeraceae.